AACGCGAAGAACCUUACCCACCUUUGACAUGGCAGGAAGUUUCCAGAGAUGGAUUCGUGCUCGAAAGAGAACCUGCACACAGGUGCUGCAUGGCUGUCGUCAGCUCGUGUCGUGAGAUGUUGGGUUAAGUCCCGCAACGAGCGCAACCCUUGUCAUUAGUUGCUACAUUUAGUUGGGCACUCUAAUGAGACUGCCGGUGACAAACCGGAGGAAGGUGGGGAUGACGUCAAGUCCUCAUGGCCCUUAUAGGUGGGGCUACACACGUCAUACAAUGGCUGGUACAGAGGGUUGCCAACCCGCGAGGGGGAGCUAAUCCCAUAAAACCAGUCGUAGUCCGGAUCGCAGUCUGCAACUCGACUGCGUGAAGUCGGAAUCGCUAGUAAUCGCGGAUCAACAUGCCGCGGUGAAUACGUUCCCGGGCCUUGUACACACCG
RNAcentral lists this ribosomal RNA (434 nucleotides) under uncultured bacterium. Its description in RNAcentral is "bacterial SSU rRNA". It matches the Rfam family "Bacterial small subunit ribosomal RNA", at positions 958 to 1392 of the family's 1533-position model. The record is from RNAcentral.